GUGGUACAUAUACUAAAAUUGGAACGAUACAGAGAAGAUUAGCAUGGCCCCUGCGUAAGCAUGACAUGCGAAAUUGUGAAGUGUUCCAUAUUUUU
Molecule: small nuclear RNA, 95 nt
Filed under: Trichobilharzia regenti
Lineage: Eukaryota; Metazoa; Platyhelminthes; Trematoda; Strigeidida; Schistosomatidae
Source: RNAcentral